This 443-nucleotide long non-coding RNA is filed under the name Androctonus crassicauda. The record is from RNAcentral. Lineage: Eukaryota; Metazoa; Arthropoda; Arachnida; Scorpiones; Buthidae.
CUUCUAGCCACAUGUUGCUAUUCAGCUUCGAAAGAGGAGACGAUAAUAAUUGUAUACACUGUAAAGUUCGUAUUUUUAUUAUCGAUUUAAAAACAGAGAAAAGAAAGAAUAAGGAUAGUUGCCGGUAACUUAUGAAACAUAUAUGCUAUGGGAAAAGACAGAAAGUUGAAGAAAGGAAGACAAGAGGAGGACUUUGGAGAGGUGGAGGUUGAUAUUGAUAGUUUAAAUUCUGAAGAAUCAUCUACUACAAGUAAAAAGAAGAAAUCUAAAAAGAAUUAUGAUGACAAAACUACAGAUCUACUGCAAAAAGUUCAAUCUUUGUCUCUAGAAGAUUUAAACAAUCAAGGAUCUAAAUCUUUAAAUAAAAAAGAAGGAAAGGUUUGUUGAAAAUAUUUCAUAUUUUUUUUCAAAAUCCAAGAAAAUUUGAAAACUUUCAUUUGUUA